RNAcentral lists this small RNA (705 nucleotides) under Pan troglodytes (chimpanzee). RNAcentral's name for it is "processed transcript". The record is from RNAcentral. Lineage: Eukaryota; Metazoa; Chordata; Mammalia; Primates; Hominidae.
AUAGCCACAGGCCUCUGCUCCUGCUCCUGCCUGCAUGUUCUCUCUGUUGUUGGAGCCUGGAGCCUUGCUCUCUGGGCACAGAGGGGUCCACUCUCCUGCCUGCUGGGACCUAUGGAAGGGGCUUCCUGGCCAAGGCCCCCUCUUCCAGAGGAGGAGCAGGGAUCUGGGUUUCCUUUUUUUUUUCUGUUUUGGGUGUACUCUAGGGGCCAGGUUGGGAGGGGGAAGGUGAGGGCUUUGGGUGGUGCUAUAAUGUGGCACUGGAUCUUGAGUAAUAAAUUUGCUGUGGUUUGUACACGGUGUUGUCUGUAGCCUGCAAAGGAGAGGCUGGGUUACUGGGUACCAAGAGACAACGUGGGAGAGGAUCAAAGCAGCUAAGGCUGCAGGGCAACCCCACCCACACAUACCCUCAGCUCAGCUUCUCCCUCCUUAUUCUUGGGCUGGAAAUACUGUAGGGUUUACAGUGGUGCAAAUCUCAUUCCUUCCCAGCUCCAAGGAGCCUUUGCUGAAGAUUACAGGAUCUCCCUUCAUAGUUCCAUGAACCACACCUGGGAGAUCUUGGUGAGCAAUGAGCAUGAGACACAGGCCGUGGUGCGACUAAAGAGCGUGCAGGGCCUCUACCUGCUGUGUGAGUGUGAUGGCACCGUGUGUUAUGGCCGCCCAAGGACCAGCCACCACGGGUGCUUUCUACUGCGUUUCCACCGGAAC